CUACGGGCUGCUGCAGUGAGGAAUAUUGCACAAUGGGGGGGACCCUGAUGCAGCAACGCCGCGUGGAGGAUGACGCAUUUCGGUGUGUAAACUCCUUUUAUAUGUCAAGAAAAUGACGGUAGCAUAUGAAUAAGCACCGGCUAACUCCGUGCCAGCAGCCGCGGUAAUACGGAGGGUGCAAGCGUUACUCGGAAUCACUGGGCGUAAAGGACGCGUAGGCGGGUUGGAAAGUCAGGUGUGAAAUCCUACAGCUUAACUGUAGAACUGCACUUGAAACUUCUAAUCUAGAGUAUGGGAGGGGGAGAUGGAAUUAGUGGUGUAGGGGUAAAAUCCGUAGAUAUCACUAGGAAUACCUAAAGCGAAGGCGAUCUCCUGGAACAUUACUGACGCUAAGGCGUGAAAGCGUGGGGAGCAAACAGGAUUAGAUACCCUUGUAGUC
This 439-nucleotide ribosomal RNA is filed under the name uncultured bacterium. Its description in RNAcentral is "partial 16S ribosomal RNA". It matches the Rfam family "Bacterial small subunit ribosomal RNA", at positions 339 to 795 of the family's 1533-position model. The record is from RNAcentral.